AACACAGAAAAGGCCGAACGCAUAGAUGGCCCAGCCCAACUACUGCUUGCCUGCGGAGGGGGAUGCGCCGGCGGAGGUCUCCGGCGAGCGAGCGGAAACCAUGGAACGGAGCGGCGGCGGCGGCUGCUGCCGAGGGCGUAGUUUUCCUCCACAGCUUCUCCUACCGUGGACGCGUCGCCAGGCCGAGACCCCACAGCGGCCGCCUCAGUCAUCUAAAUAGAACAGAUUUGUGUACACGUGCAUACUCUCAGAGUCCCAAUCUCCGCCAAACAACCGCACUACAUACGUCCUGGAAAGGGUCUUGUUCAAACCUUGUGCAAAAUCAAGGCAGAAAAGCGUCCCAACAAAGUGUGGCAAAAGGGCAGGAUCCGGAGAGGUGAUCCCCGGUUUCUGUGCAAUUUAAGGUUGCACAUGACGGGAAGAGUAAUUUGCUAAGGCCUAACAACCCACGUCCUCUUAAAAGCACUACAGACUGGUGCAGAGGCUGCAUGCCCGUGGAGGAUUUGGUAAACUUUUUGUGCAAAAUUUGUAGCAGAUGAUGAAGAAGAAGAACGAAACACAGAAAGAUAGCUUCUGGGGAGAUACCCGCCUUACAGAGCCUCAAGGAAAGUGUUGUUCAUUCCCUUGCAUUUUCUCAUUCGUCUCGAGUCUUUUUCUGUGAACAGUCAUUUGCUCACUCUUGUCCUCUCCAGGUGUAGCCUGCAUCACGAAGCGCCGUUUCGCAGGGAAACAAACUAUCUCUGGAGGAGAGCAGCCAAACAAAAAGCAAAAGCAUCAGUGAGCUGACAUAUUUCUUGCAGUAGCUGAGGAGUAAGAUGGAAGCACUAGACCCAGAGGUACUUGCCCUCGAAGCCUUCGUCCAAGAAGAUCAACCAGUGAAUUGAUACGCCACAGUCCUCCUUAGAUCACAUUUUUUGUAGGAUAUCCGAGAUGGUCGAUAGUCAUUCUUUAAGAGGGGGGUCAUUUACCCUAAAGGUAUGCAUCACUAUUUCCUGGACAUUCUGUUCGCCAUGUUUCUGUGGAUCAAUUGUCUCUGUUCAUUGAUUGUUGUCCAAAGUUUACUUCCAGAUUUGAUUGGAUUCAAUGCUACACAAACAGCAUGUUAUUUUGCUUUGUAUCGGACAAUUUGACUAGCAA
Triticum aestivum (bread wheat) is the source of this 1137-nucleotide long non-coding RNA. RefSeq lists it as uncharacterized. The record is from RefSeq and is a predicted model, not a curated record. The transcript has 6 exons. NCBI's taxonomy places the organism in Eukaryota, Viridiplantae, Streptophyta, Magnoliopsida, Poales, Poaceae.